UACGUAGGGUGCAAGCGUUAUCCGGAAUUAUUGGGCGUAAAGAGCUCGUAGGCGGUUUGUCGCGUCUGCUGUGAAAACUGGAGGCUCAACCUCCAGCCUGCAGUGGAUACGGGCAGACUAGAGUGCUGUAGGGGAGACUGGAAUUCCUGGUGUAGCGGUGAAAUGCGCAGAUAUCAGGAGGAACACCGGUGGCGAAGGCGGGUCUCUGGGCAGUAACUGACGCUGAGGAGCGAAAGCGUGGGGAGCAAACAGG
RNAcentral lists this ribosomal RNA (253 nucleotides) under uncultured bacterium. Its description in RNAcentral is "partial 16S ribosomal RNA". It matches the Rfam family "Bacterial small subunit ribosomal RNA", at positions 524 to 776 of the family's 1533-position model. The record is from RNAcentral.